RNAcentral lists this non-coding RNA (29 nucleotides) under Rattus norvegicus (Norway rat). The record is from RNAcentral. Lineage: Eukaryota; Metazoa; Chordata; Mammalia; Rodentia; Muridae.
UGCAAAUUCAUUGCGUAGACCAGGUUGGU